Long non-coding RNA from Populus trichocarpa (black cottonwood), 551 nucleotides. RefSeq lists it as uncharacterized. Lineage: Eukaryota; Viridiplantae; Streptophyta; Magnoliopsida; Malpighiales; Salicaceae. The transcript has 2 exons. The record is from RefSeq and is a predicted model, not a curated record.
ACCCCGUAAUGAUAAAAGCCAAAAAGCAUUUAAUUUUGUUAAUUUUCUUAGAAAAAUCCAGCUUCUCAGAAUUCUGGAUAGUAAUCUUGAACAGCUUUCCUUACUUUCUUUGAUUUUAAUCUUGUCAGCACCGAUACUAUGGGAAACCAAUCCCGUUUGGAUCAAGGCAAGACGCCUUGAAAAAGGCUAGCACUCUCGGAUAUUUCAAAUUUCAACUCGGUUCAAGCUUUAGCAAACUAUGCCGAAAUUAUCAUCCACGUAGAGGAGGAAUUCCAUGCUAAACACUCUCCUUGAUUGCCGUCGGAGCAUCAUAUGGUGGCUGUGAGUGUUUGCUUCUUGGUUCCGGCUGAAAUAUCCACAUGUUGCCCUCGGAGCUGUGGCCUCUUCGCCUCCAAUCCUAUGUUUUGAUGACAUAACACCAGCAAAUUCCCACGGAGCUCUGGCCUCUUCAGCUCCAAUCCUGUGCUUUGAUGAUAUAACACCAGAAAAUGGCUAUGUUUCUAUUUUCACCAAAGAUUUCAGAGUAAAUAACAAAUUCUGAUGUUUUUUCA